Ruditapes philippinarum (Manila clam) is the source of this 1745-nucleotide long non-coding RNA. RefSeq lists it as uncharacterized. The record is from RefSeq and is a predicted model, not a curated record. The transcript is spliced from 4 exons. Lineage: Eukaryota; Metazoa; Mollusca; Bivalvia; Venerida; Veneridae.
AUGUGUAACCAAAGGGAAAUAAUCAGUUGUAGUUUAUUGAUUAAAAUCUGUAGGAGUGAUUUCCCUUGGCUGUUUUAUUAGUUAAUCAUGCGUGUAAUUGUUCCCGCCGUUUUCUGAGUUGUCAUCAGUUUUUGGUAGAAGGCAGACAUUUUUUUCAGUUGUUUAAAAUAAUAAUUUGGUUAUUAAUUCUUAAAUAGGAUUUUAGAUUUUGGAUUGAGGUUGGUGAAGUUUAAUAUUGGUUGUUUACUUUGUUUAAGUGAGUUACAAAUGAGCUGUGUGUCUAAAGUUUAUUAAAAUAAGAUAUUCAUGUAUAUUGUACAUGAUUUGUUUACAAUGCAUCUGAUAAUGGCAGCAUAUUUAAAGUAAUAUCUAUUUGCAGUCAUUAAUAUAAACCACUGUCAUUCUCUAUUGUGCACAUGUUUAAUUACAGUAUGUUGCAGUAACAUCACAAGAUUGAGAGGAUUUUUGUAUGGGUGUCAUUGAGUCCAAUCCACAAUUGGGCUUGAUCUACAUAUUGAUCUACAUAUUGAUCUUCAUAUUGAUCUUCAUAUUGAUAUCUUCUUGAUACUGAUUAUAUAUUGAUUGGUGCUUAAACAAGUACUUGAUGUGAAGUUGUGAAUGUGAUGUGACUUUAACCUCUUGGGUUAAAUCUACUUGAAGCUUUAUAUUAUAUAGUAAUAUACUGAGAUCAUACACUGAAUGGACAUUUCAAAUAAAAGUAUUGAACGAACUCAGCCUCGUUGAUAUUUAUUCCUUUACAUCUUUAAGGGCAUAAUUUUAACAAAGGUAACAAUUGGCGCCCAACGGUAUUUUCAGUGAUCUCAGUGUUUUUAACUUUAAGUGAAUUUCCAGUUUAUUGACUGCAGAACUUUAUUAUUUACAGUUUAAGUAACUGUGUUCAAAUUAUUUUGCAUUUAAUGCACAGUGACAUAGUUUAUUAUAAGGUUUGCAUUUUGUGCAUAGUGAUAAUACAUACUUAAUUUUUAAGUUUAGAACUUCAGUGGCAUAUACGUAUACAUUUGAAUUUGGAUUUUACGGAGCAGAUACACAUAUUCAGGACAUUACUGUGCAACUCAUCAUUUCGUUAUAUGCGUUAGACAGGAAUUUUUAUCGUUUAUUUGGAGAAUUAGUGAUAUUUCCACUAAUACGCUUGCUUGACGGAGUACCAACUGGGAGAUCUUCAUAUCCAUAACCGACAACACGAUAUAGGCUUUUCUUCGAAUCCAGGAUCGACGACACCAACGUUUACAGGAGCAGGGACAUAAACUUUUAAGUUAAACACGAAGUGAUUGUAGUGAUAGACUGACAGUGUUUUUAAGUACCAAGUUUAGUGUUUCAUAUUACAGACACUUUUUGUAUAAGUGCUGAUCCAGGGACAGUUCUUUUAAUUUCUACAUGAUUGAACAGAAAUAUGGUAAUUGUAUGGUACAUGUAACAGUCCAGUGGUCAAGUACAGAUCAACUGAUGUUAUGUUGCAGUAACAUCACAAGAUUGAGAGGAUUUUUGUAUGAGUGUCAUUGAGUCCAAUCCACAAUUGGGCUUGAUCUACAUAUUGAUCUACAUAUUGAUCUUCAUAUUGAUCUUCAUAUUGAUAUCUUCUUGAUACUGAUUAUAUAUUGAUUGGUGCUUAAACAAGUACUUGAUGUGAAGUUGUGAAUGUGAUGUGACUUUAACCUCUUGGGUUAAAUCUACUUGAAGCUUUAUAUUAUAUAGUAAUAUACUGAGAUCAUACACUGAAUGGACAU